UACGUAGGGGGCUAGCGUUGUCCGGAUUUAUUGGGCGUAAAGAGCGUGUAGGCGGCCAGGUAGGUCUGCUGUCAAAACUCGAGGCUCAACCUCGAGACGUCGGCGGAAACCAUCUGGCUAGAGUCCGGAAGAGGAGAGUGGAAUUCCUGGUGUAGCGGUGAAAUGCGCAGAUAUCAGGAAGAACACCCGUGGCGAAGGCGGCUCUCUGGGACGGUACUGACGCUGAGACGCGAAAGCGUGGGGAGCGAACAGG
This 253-nucleotide ribosomal RNA is filed under the name uncultured bacterium. RNAcentral's name for it is "partial 16S ribosomal RNA". It matches the Rfam family "Bacterial small subunit ribosomal RNA", at positions 524 to 776 of the family's 1533-position model. The record is from RNAcentral.